UAAGGAAUAUUGGUCAAUGGACGGAAGUCUGAACCAGCCAUGCCGCGUGCAGGAAGACGGCCCUACGGGUUGUAAACUGCUUUUGUACGGGAAUAAACCUUCGGUCGUGACCGAAGCUGAAUGUACUGUAAGAAUAAGGAUCGGCUAACUCCGUGCCAGCAGCCGCGGUAAUACGGAGGAUCCAAGCGUUAUCCGGAUUUAUUGGGUUUAAAGGGUGCGUAGGCGGCCUAUUAAGUCAGGGGUGAAAGACGGUAGCUUAACUAUCGCAGUGCCUUUGAUACUGAUGGGCUUGAAUGUACUAGAGGUAGGCGGAAUGUGACAAGUAGCGGUGAAAUGCAUAGAUAUGUCACAGAACACCAAUUGCGAAGGCAGCUUACUAUGGUAUGAUUGACGCUGAGGCACGAAAGCGUGGGGAUCAAAC
Molecule: ribosomal RNA, 421 nt
Filed under: uncultured bacterium
Lineage: Bacteria
Description: bacterial SSU rRNA
Rfam family: Bacterial small subunit ribosomal RNA
Source: RNAcentral